CGGGGUGAGUAACGCGUGGAUAACCUGCCUCACACAGGGGGAUAACAGUUAGAAAUGACUGCUAAUACCGCAUAAGACCACAGUACUGCAUGGUACAGUGGUAAAAACUCCGGUGGUAUGAGAUGGACCCGCGUCUGAUUAGGUAGUUGGUGAGGUAACGGCCCACCAAGCCGACGAUCAGUAGCCGACCUGAGAGGGUGACCGGCCACAUUGGGACUGAGACACGGCCCAG
RNAcentral lists this ribosomal RNA (232 nucleotides) under uncultured bacterium. RNAcentral's name for it is "partial 16S ribosomal RNA". It matches the Rfam family "Bacterial small subunit ribosomal RNA", at positions 104 to 334 of the family's 1533-position model. The record is from RNAcentral.